AGUGAACGCUGGCGGUAGGCCUAACACAUGCAAGUCGAACGGCAGCACAGUAAGAGCUUGCUCUUACGGGUGGCGAGUGGCGGACGGGUGAGGAAUACAUCGGAAUCUACUUUUUCGUGGGGGAUAACGUAGGGAAACUUACGCUAAUACCGCAUACGACCUACGGGUGAAAGCAGGGGAUCUUCGGACCUUGCGCGAUUGAAUGAGCCGAUGUCGGAUUAGCUAGUUGGCGGGGUAAAGGCCCACCAAGGCGACGAUCCGUAGCUGGUCUGAGAGGAUGAUCAGCCACACUGGAACUGAGACACGGUCCAGACUCCUACGGGAGGCAGCAGUGGGGAAUAUUGGACAAUGGGCGCAAGCCUGAUCCAGCCAGACCGCGUGGGUGAAGAAGGCCUUCGGGUUGUAAAGCCCUUUUGUUGGGAAAGAAAAGCAGCAGGUUAAUACCCCGCUGUUCUGACGGUACCCAAAGAAUAAGCACCGGCUAACUUCGUGC
Molecule: ribosomal RNA, 493 nt
Filed under: uncultured bacterium
Lineage: Bacteria
Description: partial 16S ribosomal RNA
Rfam family: Bacterial small subunit ribosomal RNA
Source: RNAcentral